CUUUCGAGAUAUGUGCACACCUCUUGUCCAAAUUUCUACACCUGUGCACCUUUGUAGGCAGUAACAUGUCUAUGUUUUUUAAUACACCCUSUUAUAAAAGUUCAGAAUGCUUGAUUAAUAAUAACAAUACAACUUUCAACAACGGAUCUCUUGGCUCUCGCAUCGAUGAAGAACGCAGCGAAAUGCGAUAAGUAAUGUGAAUUGCAGAAUUCAGUGAAUCAUUGAAUCUUUGAACGCACCUUGCGCUCCUUGGUAUUCCGAGGAGCAUGCCUGUUUGAGUGUCAUUAAAUUCUCAAUCCCUCUUCUCUCUUGAAGAGGCUUUGGAUUUGGAGUGUUGCUGGCUUUUGUCAGCUCCCCUCAAAUGCAUUAGCUUGAUACUCUUUUGUGGAUAGGCUUUGUGGUUUGAUAAUAUCUAUGCCAUUGCCGUGAAACAAAUGUCAGCUUCCAACAGUCCUAUUUGGACAAGUCUUUUGACAUUUUGACCUCAAAUCAGGUAGGACUACCCGCUGAACUUAAGCAUAUCAAUAAGCGGAGGAAAAGAAACUAACAAGGAUUCCCCUAGUAACUGCGAGUGAAGCGGGAAAAGCUCAAAUUUAAAAUCUGGCAGUCUUUUAGCUGUCCGAGUUGUAAUCUAGAGAAGUGCUUUCCGCGCUGGACCGUGUACAAGUCUCCUG
This 674-nucleotide ribosomal RNA is filed under the name Hygrophorus fragrans. RNAcentral describes it as "eukaryotic LSU rRNA". The record is from RNAcentral. Lineage: Eukaryota; Fungi; Basidiomycota; Agaricomycetes; Agaricales; Hygrophoraceae.